Molecule: non-coding RNA, 64 nt
Organism: Ictidomys tridecemlineatus (thirteen-lined ground squirrel)
Lineage: Eukaryota; Metazoa; Chordata; Mammalia; Rodentia; Sciuridae
Source: Rfam
UUUGCAUUGAUGAGAACAGAAACAUAAACUAUGACCUAGGGGUUUCUGUUGGAUAGUUAGUAAA